Molecule: ribosomal RNA, 638 nt
Filed under: Epistomyia sp. JHK-2012
Lineage: Eukaryota; Metazoa; Arthropoda; Insecta; Diptera; Heleomyzidae
Description: eukaryotic LSU rRNA
Rfam family: Eukaryotic large subunit ribosomal RNA
Source: RNAcentral
GUCACUUUGUCUUUAUGGCAAAUGUGAGAUGCAGUGUAUGGAACGUCUUAAAUCUAGUAUGAGAAAUUAACGAUUUAAGUCCUUCUUAAAUGAGGCCAUUUACCCAUAGAGGGUGCCAGGCCCGUAUAACGUUAAUGAUUACUAGAAGAUGUUUCCAAAGAGUCGUGUUGCUUGAUAGUGCAGCACUAAGUGGGUGGUAAACUCCAUCUAAAACUAAAUAUAACCAUGAGACCGAUAGUAAACAAGUACCGUGAGGGAAAGUUGAAAAGAACUCUGAAUAGAGAGUUAAAUAGUACGUGAAACUGCUUAGAGGUUAAGCCCGAUGAACCUGAAUAUCCAUUAUGGAAAAUUCAUCAUUAUGCCUAUGAUAUUAAUAAUAUUGUGGUAAUAGUGUGCAUUUUUUCUGUAUAAGGACAUUGUAAUCUAUUAACAAAUUUUGAAUAUUUAUCAAAAGAUCGUUGGGCUUAUGUUCAUUCAAAUUAAUUUGCUUGCAUUUUAACAUAGAAUGAGUGCUUACGAUUUGAUAAAGUGUUGAUAGAUUUAUUAUAUAUAGUGCUGAAAUUUUUUUAAAAUUUUACAAUAGCAUUUAAAUCAUGAUUUUUAUGUUUAUUGUAUGCACUUAUAUGAUUAACAAUGCG